UGAUUCUGUGAUGACUCAUUUGCGUUCACCUGGAUGGUGGCUGUUGGACACACACUGUGCUGGUUCCUUGGUACUGUCCUUACACCUCUCAGCGGUUCACAUGCCAUCAGUUCACAACUGAACCAGCUGGAAGAAAAGCUUCAGAGAGAAAGAGGCAAAGGGAAAGAAGUCAACCUUCUUCCGUCUGGAAAAAAUAAACUGUUAGGUGGGUUAAAAAUUGUAUGGACCACCAGGAUCAAAGGGCCCAAGGUCCAUUUGGUUGUUUGAAGCUGAACUAUGUCUUUAUCCUCUGAAACUGAGAAGAACAAAUGCAACUUUAUGGUUCUCAUCACAUGUUAACCAUUAGUUUAUACUUACUGGCAUGAAUUGCCAUAAUGGAUGCAAGAGAGGGUACUUUAUAUGCUUCAUGGGACACCACUGCAAGAUUUUGCAGCCUUCUCAGUCACAUUCUGUGAUUCCAUGAUAUUCAAGGAACUCUGUCCAAAGGCCAAGAGAUGCUGAUAGAAAGAACAAUUUUUCCUGCCAGUUCUCAGAAGUAAAAAAGGUGACUAUGCACAUUAUCUUUCAUGCCGGUUAAAGAAAAGAUGACUUUUAUUUAGACUAACAUGUUUGAUGGAAGUGGUGCGCUUUUACUCUUGGCUACUAGAAAUACAUACAGGUAAAUGACUAUUCUGCCAGCUUUCAGCUAUGUUUCUGAUAGGCCAAUAAAUACUGAUGGCUCAAAGGGGUCUCGUAGAAA
This 739-nucleotide long non-coding RNA is filed under the name Coturnix japonica (Japanese quail). RNAcentral's name for it is "lncRNA (ENSCJPG00005005644.1)". The record is from RNAcentral. Lineage: Eukaryota; Metazoa; Chordata; Aves; Galliformes; Phasianidae.